This 484-nucleotide ribosomal RNA is filed under the name uncultured bacterium. RNAcentral's name for it is "partial 16S ribosomal RNA". It matches the Rfam family "Bacterial small subunit ribosomal RNA", at positions 30 to 507 of the family's 1533-position model. The record is from RNAcentral.
AUUGAACGCUGGCGGCAGGCCUAACACAUGCAGGUCGAGCGGAUGAAGGGAGCUUGCUCCUGGAUUCAGCGGCGGACGGGUGAGUAAUGCCUAGGAAUCUGCCUGGUAGUGGGGGAUAACGUCCGGAAACGGGCGCUAAUACCGCAUACGUCCUGAGGGAGAAAGUGGGGGAUCUUCGGACCUCACGCUAUCAGAUGAGCCUAGGUCGGAUUAGCUAGUCGGUGGGGUAAAGGCCUACCAAGGCGACGAUCCGUAACUGGUCUGAGAGGAUGAUCAGUCACACUGGAACUGAGACACGGUCCAGACUCCUACGGGAGGCAGCAGUGGGGAAUAUUGGACAAUGGGCGAAAGCCUGAUCCAGCCAUGCCGCGUGUGUGAAGAAGGUCUUCGGAUUGUAAAGCACUUUAAGUUGGGAGGAAGGGCAGUAAGUUAAUACCUUGCUGUUUUGACGUUACCAACAGAAUAAGCACCGGCUAACUUCGUG